Molecule: ribosomal RNA, 254 nt
Filed under: Bacillus anthracis (anthrax bacterium)
Lineage: Bacteria; Bacillati; Bacillota; Bacilli; Caryophanales; Bacillaceae
Description: partial 16S ribosomal RNA
Rfam family: Bacterial small subunit ribosomal RNA
Source: RNAcentral
UUAUUUGAGAGUUUGAUCCUGGCUCAGGAUGAACGCUGGCGGCGUGCCUAAUACAUGCAAGUCGAGCGAAUGGAUUAAGAGCUUGCUCUUAUGAAGUUAGCGGCGGACGGGUGAGUAACACGUGGGUAACCUGCCCAUAAGACUGGGAUAACUCCGGGAAACCGGGGCUAAUACCGGAUAACAUUUUGAACCGCAUGGUUCGAAAUUGAAAGGCGGCUUCGGCUGUCACUUAUGGAUGGACCCGCGUCGCAUUA